This is a long non-coding RNA of Salvia hispanica, 219 nucleotides long. RefSeq lists it as uncharacterized. NCBI's taxonomy places the organism in Eukaryota, Viridiplantae, Streptophyta, Magnoliopsida, Lamiales, Lamiaceae. The record is from RefSeq and is a predicted model, not a curated record.
CAGCGAGCUGUCACAACUGCACUCUGGUGCAACUUUCUUGUUUUCUCUCUCAAAUUUGGGGUCUGGUUGUCCACCUCGAGCCAUGUGAUGUUGGCUGAAGUUAUUCAUUCAGUUGCAGAUUUUGCAAACCAGGCUCUUCUUGCUUAUGGUUUAAGUAGCUCACGCCGUGCACCAGAUGCUCUCCAUCCAUAUGGUUAUUCCAAGGAACGGUUUGUCUGG